UUUACAUCGAAUGAAUCAGCUAUAUAGACAAGUUAUUAUUUUGAACGAUCUAAGAAAUCACGCAAAUGGUUUGUCAUACUCUUUUACUAUGAAGCGAUAGUAAUAAUUUUUAUUUCGGGACUUGAAAACGAAGUUAGUUACAUUUCAGACGAUGCAUGGAGUUUUCAAGAAAUUUGUUUAAAUUAUGGAAUUAAAUCGUCUACUAUGAGGAGAAAAUCUUCGGAAGGGGAGCGCAAAAUUUGCUGUGACGAUUGCGAUUUUGAUAACGCGAAUGAUCACAAAGGGUGAUCACACGAACGCGUGAUAUUCACAGUUGGGAAUGUGAUCACGGAAUGAAUCAGUCCAAGUUGUAUAUUCAAUCAUAGAAAGCAAGGAAUUGCAUAUUUGACCUCAAAAAUAGAUUAU
Styela clava is the source of this 405-nucleotide non-coding RNA. The record is from RefSeq and is a predicted model, not a curated record. NCBI's taxonomy places the organism in Eukaryota, Metazoa, Chordata, Ascidiacea, Stolidobranchia, Styelidae.